GUUGUUUGUGUGAUUCAACAGCCAGUGUUAUUCCAAAUUGAGAGAGUCAAUCAAACCCACAGAUUGAGAGAGUCAAUCAUCAACUAUCCAACAUCAUCUAUCCAUCUUCCAUGUUCAAUCAUCUAUCCAUAAACCAUUCCAUCCCUUUAUCUUUUAGUUUCUGUUCUUAUUUUAAUUAUUCAUAAACUCAUUGUUCUUCAUUGUUUCCAGGUUAGAUUGGAUUAAAAGGAAGAUCAAGUCGGCCAUCCUCACCAUCUUUCCAUCCGGUCUUCAUCCUUACCGAUAAGACAACCCAUCGCCCAUCCAUUUCAUC
RNAcentral lists this long non-coding RNA (313 nucleotides) under Brassica rapa (field mustard). Its description in RNAcentral is "long non-coding RNA (BRAP_LNC008402)". The record is from RNAcentral. Lineage: Eukaryota; Viridiplantae; Streptophyta; Magnoliopsida; Brassicales; Brassicaceae.